GACGAACGCUGGCGGCGUGCUUAACACAUGCAAGUCGAACGGAAAGGCCCUGCUCUUGUGGGGUGCUCGAGUGGCGAACGGGUGAGUAACACGUGAGUAACCUGCCCUUGACUUUGGGAUAACUUCAGGAAACUGGGGCUAAUACCGGAUAGGAGCUCCUGCUGCAUGGUGGGGGUUGGAAAGUUUCGGCGGUUGGGGAUGGACUCGGGGCUUAUCAGCUUGUUGGUGGGGUAGUGGCUUACCAAGGCUUUGACGGGUAGCCGGCCUGAGAGGGUGACCGGCGACAUUGGGACUGAGAGACGGACCAGACUCCUACGGGAGGCAGCAGUGGGGAAUAUUGCACAAUGGGCGGAAGCCUGAUGCAGCAACGCCGCGUGCGGGAUGACGGCCUUCGGGUUGUAAACCGCUUUCGCCUGUGACGAAGCGUGAGUGACGGUAAUGGGUAAAGAAGCACCGGCUAACUACGUG
This 468-nucleotide ribosomal RNA is filed under the name uncultured bacterium. Its description in RNAcentral is "partial 16S ribosomal RNA". It matches the Rfam family "Bacterial small subunit ribosomal RNA", at positions 28 to 507 of the family's 1533-position model. The record is from RNAcentral.